CCCCUCCCGUUUCCUGUCCCAGCAGCUCUGAGCUCUGAUCUGAGUGGUUGCAAAAGGAGGAAAAGUCACGAGGAAACUGAGUUCAAUGAUUUGUAGCAUAUGGGCUAAUUUCAGGUUCAAAUAAAU
This 126-nucleotide small nucleolar RNA is filed under the name Echinops telfairi (small Madagascar hedgehog). RNAcentral's name for it is "Small nucleolar RNA SNORA61 (ENSETEG00000024409.1)". Lineage: Eukaryota; Metazoa; Chordata; Mammalia; Afrosoricida; Tenrecidae. The record is from RNAcentral.